This is a long non-coding RNA of Mauremys reevesii (Reeves's turtle), 907 nucleotides long. RefSeq lists it as uncharacterized. The record is from RefSeq and is a predicted model, not a curated record. The transcript is spliced from 4 exons. NCBI's taxonomy places the organism in Eukaryota, Metazoa, Chordata, Testudines, Geoemydidae.
CUCUCAUUGGGUAGCACUGCACUGACCAAAGCAAUAUCAAUCAUCAGGGCAAACUGCAAGGUUUCUGUUUAGGCUCCCAUGAUGCACAAAUGUUUGCAGAUGUUUAACUUCAUAUACACCAAGGAUAUGCAAAUGUGUCUUCAUUUAAAUCUGAAAAAUAGGAAAUACCUUGAUUUGUCCCCGAGAAAGCUGGGCAAAUCAAUGAACAGAUCAACAGAGGGUUUGAACAAUGCUGCAGAUUCUCUGCAAAGUCUGGACAUCUAGAGAAGUAGCUGGAAGAAAAUAGGAGAACCAAGCACCAUGUGACCAGUCAUCUCUCAAUGGACCACAGCUUGAGAAGUACUAUUCUAGUUUGAUCAAAAGGCAAAUUAACAUUAUGUUGAACGUCAGUGUGGGAUGCUGUGUGACUAAGAUGUGUCCUUGAGGACCCCCCUCUUCCACACCGGCGGAGCGCCUCCAUCAGAUAAGGCAGUGAUGUAGGAGGAGUAAGGAGGAUCUGUUUUGUGAGGUGCUGCAGUCAACAGAUGCAGCACAGAGUGGAACAAGAGUAUGGAGGGAGACAAUAAAUGAAAGAAUACAGCUGGAUAGCCAGGAAAGGUCACACAGGCAGGAGUGGAUGAUAAAGCUCCUUGAGGACCAGACAGACAUAUUGAAGUCCCUCGUUAGCCUGCAAUCACAGCAAAUCCAUGCCCAACACCCCCUCCAGCCACUACAGAAUUCCAGUCGAUGCCCUCCCAAACUGCCCCACUGCAUUGACCAUGUGUUACCAGUUCCUCAUACCACCCCAUACACUCCACGCCUGGGAACUGGUUUCCCAAUGAAAACUGGAGUUGCACCCAGCUGUGAGAGCCCUAACUGUGAGACUGUUCUUUGUCAUAUCCAUGUUUGACCAAAAGUUUGUGUUUGA